AAGGUGCCACCAGCCCCGUGGGUGUCCCCCCAGUGUCCCUUAGUGUCCUCGGGGUGCCGUGGGUGUCCCCAAGGUGCCACCAGCCCCGUGGGUGUCCCCCAAGUGUCCCUUAGUGUCCUCGGGGUGCCGUGGGUGUCCCCAAGGUGCCACCAGCCCCGUGGGUGUCCCCCCAGUGUCCCCCCCAGGGGGCUGGCAUGUCCCCCGUGUCCCAAACAUCCCCAAUGUCCCCAAGGCACCGGGGUGGCCCCCGGGUCUCGCUGUCCCCCACGUCCUCGAUGUCCCCAACGUCCCCAAAACCAUCAGGGUGGCCCCCGGGUCUCGCUGUCACUGUUGUCCCCCGAUGUCCCCAAGGUGUGGGGGUGGCCCCCCCCCCCGGGGUCUCACUGGUCCCCAGUGUCCCCAACGUCCCCAAAACAUUGGGGUGGCCCUGGGUCUCGCUGUCCCCCAUGUCCCCAGUGUCCCCAAGGUAUCGGGGUGGCCCCCACAUCCUCGAUGUCCCCAACGUCCCCAAAAACAUCAGGGUGGCCCCCAGGUCUCACUGUCACUGUUGUCCCCCAAUGUCCCCAAGGGGUGGGGGUGGCCCCCAUGUCCCCGAUGUCCCCAAAGUAUCAGGGUGGCCCCUGGGCCUUGCUGUCCCCAAUGUCCCCAAGGCGUGGGGGUGGCCCCCACGUCCUCGAUGUCCCCAACGUCCUCAAAACCAUCAGGGUGGCCCCUGGGUCUCACUGUCACUGUUGUCCCCCAAUGUCCCCAAGGGGUGGAGGUGGCCCCCCCGAGGGUCUCACUGUCCCCAAUGUCCCCAAGGGGUGGGGGUGGCCCCCCCGGGGGUCUCGCUGGUCCCCGAUGUCCCCAAGGCCUUGGGGUGGCCCCUGGGGUCUCGCCGGUCACCGCCGUCCCCUCUGUCCCCAAGGGUCCCCGCGGGUCAGGGGGCGGGGGGCGCCCCCUCGGCCUCGCUGUCGCUGCUGUCCCCCAUGUCCCCGAGGUCCCCCAGGUCCCCCAUGUCGCCGUGGGGCAGGGCGAAGGGGGGCAGGUCCUCGUCGGAGGAGCCCAGAGAGUCCUCGUCCCCCAGGCGUGUCCCCAAGGCCACCGCACCGAAGGCCAGCGGGCCCCGCAGCAGCCGGA
This 1119-nucleotide long non-coding RNA is filed under the name Calidris pygmaea (Spoon-billed sandpiper). Its description in RNAcentral is "lncRNA (ENSCPGG00000003645.1)". Lineage: Eukaryota; Metazoa; Chordata; Aves; Charadriiformes; Scolopacidae. The record is from RNAcentral.